GACGCUCAUGCACGAAAGCGUGGGGAUCAAACAGGAUUAGAUACCCUGGUAGUCCACGCUGUAAACGAUGAUUACUCGAUGUUGGCGAUACACAGUCAGCGUCUGAGCGAAAGCAAUAAGUAAUCCACCUGGGGAGUACGAUCGCAAGAUUGAAACUCAAAGGAAUUGACGGGGGCCCGCACAAGCGGAGGAGCAUGUGGUUUAAUUCGAUGAUACGCGAGGAACCUUACCUGGGCUCGAACGUAAGAUGACUGUAGGUGAAAGCUUACAUCUCUUCGGAGCAUUUUACGAGGUGCUGCAUGGUUGUCGUCAGCUCGUGCCGUGAGGUGUCGGGUUAAGUCCCAUAACGAGCGCAACCCCUACCUUUAGUUGCCAUCAGGUCAUGCUGGGGACUCUAAAGGAACUGCCUACGCAAGUAGUGAGGAAGGCGGGGAUGACGUCAAAUCAGCACGGCCCUUACGUCCAGGGCUACACACGUGCUACAAUGGCCGAUACAGAGGGCAGCUACCUGGUGACAGGAUGCAAAUCUCCAAAGUCGGUCUCAGUUCGGAUCGGAGUCUGCAACCCGACUCCGUGAAGUUGGAUUCGCUAGUAAUCGCGCAUCAGCCGUGGCGCGGUGAAUACGUUCCCGGGCCUUGUACACACCGCCCGUCAAGCCAUGGAAGCUGGGGGGACCUAAAGUCGAUAACCGCAAGGAGUCGCCUAGGGUAAAACCAGUGACUGGGGCUAAGUCGUAACAAGGUAGCCG
This 748-nucleotide ribosomal RNA is filed under the name uncultured Lentimicrobium sp. RNAcentral's name for it is "bacterial SSU rRNA". It matches the Rfam family "Bacterial small subunit ribosomal RNA", at positions 742 to 1502 of the family's 1533-position model. The record is from RNAcentral. Lineage: Bacteria; Pseudomonadati; Bacteroidota; Bacteroidia; Bacteroidales; Lentimicrobiaceae.